GACGAACGUUGGCGGCGUGCUUAACACAUGCAAGUCGAACGGAAAGGCCCUGCUUUUGUGGGGUGCUCGAGUGGCGAACGGGUGAGUAACACGUGAGUAACCUGCCCUUGACUUUGGGAUAACUUCAGGAAACUGGGGCUAAUACCGGAUAGGAGCUCCUGCUGCAUGGUGGGGGUUGGAAAGUUUCGGCGGUUGGGGAUGGACUCGCGGCUUAUCAGCUUGUUGGUGGGGUAGUGGCUUACCAAGGCUUUGACGGGUAGCCGGCCUGAGAGGGUGACCGGCCACAUUGGGACUGAGAUACGGCCCAGACUCCUACGGGAGGCAGCAGUGGGGAAUAUUGCACAAUGGGCGGAAGCCUGAUGCAGCAACGCCGCGUGCGGGAUGACGGCCUUCGGGUUGUAAACCGCUUUCGCCUGUGACGAAGCGUGAGUGACGGUAAUGGGUAAAGAAGCACCGGCUAACUACGUGCCAGCAGCCGCGGUGAUACGUAGGGUGCGAGCGUUGUCCGGAUUUAUUGGGCGUAAAGGGCUCGUAGGUGGUUGAUCGCGUCGGAAGUGUAAUCUUGGGGCUUAACCCUGAGCGUGCUUUCGAUACGGGUUGACUUGAGGAAGGUAGGGGAGAAUGGAAUUCCUGGUGGAGCGGUGGAAUGCGCAGAUAUCAGGAGGAACACCAGUGGCGAAGGCGGUUCUCUGGGCCUUUCCUGACGCUGAGGAGCGAAAGCGUGGGGAGCGAACAGGCUUAGAUACCCUGGUAGUCCACGCUGUAAACGGUGGGUACUAGGUGUGGGGUCCGUUCCACGGGUUCCGUGCCGUAGCUAACGCUUUAAGUACCCCGCCUGGGGAGUACGGCCGCGAGGCUAAAACUCAAAGGAAUUGACGGGGCCCCGCACAAGCGGCGGAGCAUGCGGAUUAAUUCGAUGCAACGCGUAGAACCUUACCUGGGUUUGACAUGGAUCGGGAGUGCUCAGAGAUGGGUGUGCCUCUUUUGGGGUCGGUUCACAGGUGGUGCAUGGCUGUCGUCAGCUCGUGUCGUGAGAUGUUGGGUUAAGUCCCGCAACGAGCGCAACCCUUGUUCACUGUUGCCAGCACGUUAUGGUGGGGACUCAGUGGAGACCGCCGGGGUCAACUCGGAGGAAGGUGGGGAUGACGUCAAGUCAUCAUGCCCCUUAUGUCCAGGGCUUCUCGCAUGCUACAAUGGCUGGUACAGAGAGUGGCGAGCCUGUGAGGGUGAGCGAAUCUCGGAAAGCCGGUCUCAGUUCGGAUUGGGGUCUGCAACUCGACCUCAUGAAGUCGGAGUCGCUAGUAAUCGCAGAUCAGCAACGCUGCGGUGAAUACGUUCCCGGG
Molecule: ribosomal RNA, 1343 nt
Filed under: uncultured bacterium
Lineage: Bacteria
Description: 16S ribosomal RNA
Rfam family: Bacterial small subunit ribosomal RNA
Source: RNAcentral